AUUGAACGCUGGCGGCAGGCCUAACACAUGCAAGUCGAGCGGAUGAAGGGAGCUUGCUCCUGGAUUCAGCGGCGGACGGGUGAGUAAUGCCUAGGAAUCUGCCUGGUAGUGGGGGAUAACGUCCGGAAACGGGCGCUAAUACCGCAUACGUCCUGAGGGAGAAAGUGGGGGAUCUUCGGACCUCACGCUAUCAGAUGAGCCUAGGUCGGAUUAGCUAGUUGGUGGGGUAAAGGCCUACCAAGGCGACGAUCCGUAACUGGUCUGAGAGGAUGAUCAGUCACACUGGAACUGAGACACGGUCCAGACUCCUACGGGAGGCAGCAGUGGGGAAUAUUGGACGAUGGGCGAAAGCCUGAUCCAGCCAUGCCGCGUGUGUGAAGAAGGUCUUCGGAUUGUAGAGCACUUUAAGUUGGGGGGAAGGGCAGUAAGUUAAUACCUUGCUGUUUUGACGUUACCAACAGAAUAAGCACCGGCUAACUUCGUG
Molecule: ribosomal RNA, 484 nt
Filed under: uncultured bacterium
Lineage: Bacteria
Description: partial 16S ribosomal RNA
Rfam family: Bacterial small subunit ribosomal RNA
Source: RNAcentral